This 565-nucleotide long non-coding RNA is filed under the name Gossypium barbadense (sea-island cotton). Its description in RNAcentral is "long non-coding RNA (GBAR_LNC012777)". Lineage: Eukaryota; Viridiplantae; Streptophyta; Magnoliopsida; Malvales; Malvaceae. The record is from RNAcentral.
AAACUUAACUAUACAAAUUACAAAGGGAUAAUCUUGUACAACAUAAACACAUAAACUAAGGACAAGAUUGUUCAACUAAAGAACUUGGGAUCAUAGCCAUUGCUGGAGGUGGCCAAGAUAUAGUAAGCAACAAUAUGACCCAGGGAUCCCCAAGCCAGAACAUCCACCAGGUUGAAUCCCACCGGAUCGUUGGAUUUCAGGAGGCUAACAUACUCCUUGGCUCGAGUGUCACCCGCUUCGAAAUGGGUCAACCCGUUUUGCUCAGGCACUUGCUUCGCCACGUUCUCUCUUUGGAAGUUGAAGAACACGAACCGACCCAAGAAAAGGGAGAGGCCUGUGCUUAGGCUUAUCACCACUGGGGCGCUUAGCUCAGCCUUCACACCACCAACCUUUCUACCACAAGACAAGGGGGCGAGCUUGGAGGAGGGGGCCUUGCGCAGGGGCCUGAGGCCUUGGAACGAUGGAGUGGCGAUGUUGUGGCGGCUGCCAUGUUUGUUUUGGAGGGUGGUGGUGAAGAUGGGGGUUAACAAAGCUGAGGCUGAUGCCAUGGCUGCCUGAGUGUGUG